RNAcentral lists this ribosomal RNA (302 nucleotides) under uncultured bacterium. Its description in RNAcentral is "bacterial SSU rRNA". It matches the Rfam family "Bacterial small subunit ribosomal RNA", at positions 29 to 309 of the family's 1533-position model. The record is from RNAcentral.
GCGAACGCUGGCGGCGUGCCUAACACAUGCAAGUCGAGCGCGGGCAUUUCGGGGGUAACCCCGGGAUGUGCUGAGCGGCGGACGAGUGAGUAAUACGUGGACAACCUGCCUUAAAGCUUGGGAUAACUCCGGGAAACUGGAGCUAAUACCGGAUAAGACCACGGUGUCUAUGGAUGCUGAGGUAAAAGGCGGCCAGGAAACUGGCUGUUGCUUAAAGAUGGGUCCACGUCCCANCAGGUAGUUGGUGAGGUAAAGGCUCACCAAGCCAAAGACGGGUAGCUGGCCUUAGCGGGUGGUCAGCC